CCUACGGGAGGCAGCAGUGGGGAAUCUUGCGCAAUGGGCGAAAGCCUGACGCAGCCAUGCCGCGUGAAUGAUGGAGGUCUUAGGAUUGUAAAGUUCUUUAGCCUGUGACGAUGAUGACGGUAACAGGAGAAUAAGCCCCGGCUAACUUCGUGCCAGCAGCCGCGGUAAUACGAAGGGGGCUAGCGUUGUUCGGAAUUACUGGGCGUAAAGCGCGCGUAGGCGGUUUUACAAGCCAGAGGUGAAAUGCCUGAGCUUAACUUGGGAAUUGCCUUUGGAACUGUAUGACUUCGAGGACGAGAGAGGUGAGUGGAAUUCCCAGUGUAGAGGUGAAAUUCGUAGAUAUUGGGAAGAACACCGGUGGCGAAGGCGGCUCACUGGCUCGUUUCUGACGCUGCAGCGCGAAAGCGUGGGGAUCAAACAGGAUUAGAUACCCUGGUAGUCCACACUGUAAACGAUGCGAACUAGCUUUUUGGCUUUAGAGUUGAGGGGCUAAGGGAAACCGAUAAGUUCGCCACCUGGGGAGUACGCCGGCAACGGUGAAACUCAAAGGAAUUGACGG
This 559-nucleotide ribosomal RNA is filed under the name uncultured Alphaproteobacteria bacterium. Its description in RNAcentral is "bacterial SSU rRNA". It matches the Rfam family "Bacterial small subunit ribosomal RNA", at positions 338 to 916 of the family's 1533-position model. The record is from RNAcentral. Lineage: Bacteria; Pseudomonadati; Pseudomonadota; Alphaproteobacteria.